GAUGAACGCUGGCGGCGUGCUUAACACAUGCAAGUCGAACGGUGAAGGCGGAGCUUGCUCUGCUGGAUCAGUGGCGAACGGGUGAGUAACACGUGAGCAAUCUGCCCCUGACUCUGGGAUAAGCGCUGGAAACGGCGUCUAAUACUGGAUACGAGCUGCGCAGGCAUCUUCAGCAGCUGGAAAGAAGUGCGGUCAGGGCUGAGCGCGCGGCCUACCAGCUUGUUGGUGAGGUAGUGGCUCACCAAGGCAUCGACGGGUAGCCGGCCCGAGAGGGUGACCGGCCACACUGGGACUGCGGCACGGCCCAGACUCCUACGGGAGGCAGCAGUGGGAAAUAUUGCACAAUGGGCGCAAGCCUGAUGAAGCAACGCCGCGUGUGGGAAGACGGCCUUCGGGUUGUAAAAAUCUUUUAGCAGAGAAGACGCGAAAGUGACGGUACCUGCAGAAAAAGCGCCGGCUAACUACGUG
This 468-nucleotide ribosomal RNA is filed under the name uncultured bacterium. RNAcentral's name for it is "partial 16S ribosomal RNA". It matches the Rfam family "Bacterial small subunit ribosomal RNA", at positions 28 to 507 of the family's 1533-position model. The record is from RNAcentral.